This 461-nucleotide ribosomal RNA is filed under the name uncultured bacterium. RNAcentral describes it as "bacterial SSU rRNA". It matches the Rfam family "Bacterial small subunit ribosomal RNA", at positions 8 to 496 of the family's 1533-position model. The record is from RNAcentral.
AGAGUUUGAUCAUGGCUCAGGAUGAACGCUGGCGGCGUGCCUAACACAUGCAAGUCGAGCGAUUUACUUCGGUAAAGAGCGGCGGACGGGUGAGUAACGCGUGGGUAACCUGCCCUGUACACACGGAUAACAUACUGAAAGGUAUGCUAAUACGAGAUAAUAUGCUUUUAUCGCAUGGUAGAAGUAUCAAAGCUUUUGCGGUACAGGAUGGACCCGCGUCUGAUUAGCUAGUUGGUAAGGUAACGGCUUACCAAGGCGACGAUCAGUAGCCGACCUGAGAGGGUGAUCGGCCACAUUGGAACUGAGACACGGUCCAAACUCCUACGGGAGGCAGCAGUGGGGAAUAUUGCACAAUGGGCGAAAGCCUGAUGCAGCAACGCCGCGUGAGCGAUGAAGGCCUUCGGGUCGUAAAGCUCUGUCCUCAAGGAAGAUAAUGACGGUACUUGAGGAGGAAGCCCCGG